GUUAGAGCGCGCGCUUGAUAAGCGUGAGGUCGGAGGUUCAAGUCCUCCCAGGCCCACCAAUUUUUCCAUUAUUUUCAUAAGUGCUUUUGAAAAAUAAGUACUUCUAAAAUAUCGCUUCUAAAAAUUGGCAUGCUUGUUGCUUUUGUGUGUGUGAUCCAAAGUUAAAGCAGUUUAAUGGUAAAAAAAGCAGUUCAAAUGCUAAAAUGCUAAAAGGUCAAAAUUUUGGGAAAGUGAUUUUUGCAGUGUCUAUUUGGUUGAUGUAAAUUUCGAAUAGUCAUGGACGUAAAUGCCCAUAUAAAACAUAUCGGUUAAAUUAUAUCACUUUGGGUCAUACGUUAUAAUACCUCCUUUAAUCGUUUUACCUGUUUUAGGGGCCGUAGCUCAGCUGGGAGAGCACCUGCUUUGCAAGCAGGGGGUCGUCGGUUC
This 426-nucleotide unclassified non-coding RNA is filed under the name Bartonella koehlerae. Its description in RNAcentral is "partial may contain 16S ribosomal RNA, 16S-23S intergenic spacer, and 23S ribosomal RNA". The stretch from base 1 to 56 matches the Rfam family "tRNA", at positions 18 to 71 of the family's 71-position model. Lineage: Bacteria; Pseudomonadati; Pseudomonadota; Alphaproteobacteria; Hyphomicrobiales; Bartonellaceae. The record is from RNAcentral.